CAUGUAGGCGGCUUGUUAAGUCACGUGUGAAAGCCCCAGGCUCAACCUGGGAAGUGCGCGUGAAACUGGCGAGCUUGAAUCCUGGAGAGGGUGGCGGAAUUCCCGGUGUAGAGGUGAAAUUCGUAGAUAUCGGGAGGAACACCAGAGGCGAAGGCGGCCACCUGGACAGAGAUUGACGCUGAGACGCGAAAGCGUGGGGAGCAAACA
Molecule: ribosomal RNA, 207 nt
Filed under: uncultured bacterium
Lineage: Bacteria
Description: partial 16S ribosomal RNA
Rfam family: Bacterial small subunit ribosomal RNA
Source: RNAcentral